UUCAUUCAUUCACUAAAAAAAUUUUGAUUACAUUGAAAUGGAUGAGAUUUUUCUUCUUUUUUUUUUUUGUAUGGGGAUUGAACUCAGGACUCUGCGCUUGCGAGGCAGGCGGCAGAACCACUGAGCUAAAUCUCCAGCCGUAUUUUUCUUCUUUUCUACUGUUUGUCUCUUUUUAUCAAGUGGAGGAGGAAAGGCCAUCAGCAUUUUUGUUGUUGUGUUGUUACCAGGGAUCAAGCUCCAGAGCUCCGGCUUGCGAGGCAGCAGUGACACCACUGAGCUAAAUCCCUGGCCCCCAUCCAUCAGCAUUUUUGAUGCAGUCUUGCUAUUUAGUUCAGACUGGCCUUGAACUCAUUAUUCACUAUGUAUCCCAAGCUGGCCUCAAACUCACAGCAAUCCUCCUGCCUCAGCCUCCUGGGUGCUGGGAUUACAGAUGUGCUGUAUCACCAUACCUGGCUUCCUGUACAGUACUUGACAGCCACCCAUGAGUAGGAAUGGCUUCUGGACCUUCCAUUACUGCCCAAUGAGCUGACACACCUAGUUUUGUGAGACCAAGAUGCAGGGCCAAGGUCAUUUGGUGAUACCUACAUGUUCUUUAGGACCCAGAGCUGGAGGUGAAUGUGAGGAGUGGAGAAAAAACAAGAUCUGAACUGUAUGGAGCUAGAAGGUCGUCUGGGAAACAGCUACAUGAAAAAAGCUGAUCUGUAAGGAGAGAGUAAGGCAACGGGCUUAAAAAGAGGCAGACAGCCGGGAUGAAAGAAUGUUCUGUUGGCGCUCAGGUCCUGGGUCUGGUUAUUCUCGAACUCACCGGUCACCCUGUGUUUUGCACCGUUGCCCAUUCAGUCCUCCCCUGAACACCCUGAACCAGUACAUCUCUCGUUCUGUUUGAACUCAUUCAAGUUUCCAUAUUUGCAACAGUGGAAGAACCCUGAAGUACAGGCCCUGAGCAGGCCAACACCACAGGUCCUGGACCAAUGCUGAAGCUACAAAGAUGGACCGGAAGUGGACCUGCACCAGGCCUGGACCAAAUCGACAAUUACAGUGCUCAUACUUCCUCAAGGGCUCCUAUAAUGCUGAGGAGCCCUGAAUGCCCCGUAAGCCCAGCCCGGAGGGUCUCUUCAGAGCCACUGCGAAUGCUGCCUUCCAGUGGCAGGUGCUGCCAUGAAGAAGCUGAGCCCAGCAGGCAGACAGAGUCACAUCUGGGAUUUGCUCAUUGUUUGGCUUGGUUUCUUCACAUCCAUAAUAAAGUUAACGGUACCUACUCUUUCACUCAACCGCUACACCUCCCUCAGAGGCAGCCUUGGACUGCAGUGUUGGGAGCAAGAACAGUGGGUAACAGAACUGGAUUGAACUCCUGCCUUUACACAUGCUGCGUUAAAUCUAGAACUUUAUGGGUGACAAGAGGAUCUACUGUCUUAUAUAGUUCCU
RNAcentral lists this long non-coding RNA (1425 nucleotides) under Fukomys damarensis (Damara mole-rat). RNAcentral describes it as "lncRNA (ENSFDAG00000027691.1)". The record is from RNAcentral. Lineage: Eukaryota; Metazoa; Chordata; Mammalia; Rodentia; Bathyergidae.